This 1537-nucleotide long non-coding RNA is filed under the name Helianthus annuus (common sunflower). RNAcentral's name for it is "hypothetical non coding rna". The record is from RNAcentral. Lineage: Eukaryota; Viridiplantae; Streptophyta; Magnoliopsida; Asterales; Asteraceae.
UUAUUAUUAACUCAAUCGUUUAUAAACAUCUAAAACAUCCAACCAGAACAACAAAAAUAGGAUCACGAGAACACUUCUAGGCAUAAUAAACACUGACAAUACAACGAACAUCGUUAACAACAUAUCGCAAAAAUAACAGACAUAGCUUUCUUAAAGGGCCUCGUUUUCAUUUGCUUCAGUCUUGUCUCUCAUAGAAUAACUAUGAAGAUUUCUAGUAAAACUAGUAGUCGUGUCCAAGAAAUAAAGCACAAACGACAUGAUGAUGCAACACACAAACAUGGGUAUCGGUCCAAAGAUCCACAAAAAGAGCGGAAACGAGAAGUAAAAUGCUCUCAAACCGAUAGACCAAAACAGGCUUCCGCGGUUCAAGUUCCUAGCAACGUAGUUUAUCGGUUCUCUCCUGUCUAUGAAUGUAGGAACCGUGACCAAGAAGCUAACAUGAGCAUAGUAACGAAUUGACUGCACAUUGCAAAGAAAUGCAACAAGAAAACAGAGCAAGAUUGCAAAGUAUUUUACUGACGAUAAGAGUUGGGUAUUAUUUCCGUACAUCAAUUGUGAAGCUGCGGGGUUUGUAUUAGAAGCGCUGCUCACGAAAACGCUGAUUAUUGAACUCAGAGUGAUCGCGGUUGUGGCUAGAAGAGUGGAUGCCAUGAUGUUGUUGCGAAUAGUUUGCACUGCUAAUACGCCAUUCUUUAGCGGAUCCUCCAUCAUAGAGAAGACCCACUGAUGUCGAGUUUCUGAAUUGAGGCCAAUAACAGUUUGUCUUGGGUGUUUGAAAACGGUGUAAACAAGCCAAAUAUGGUAGGCGAUCAUAAUCCCUAAACCCAAAGGCACCAGAACGUAGUCAACAUCUUUCUCCUCCAUCUCUUCUCGAUUCUCCAACCACAAAAAUCAGCAAGAACAUGAAACCCUCUGUCUAGAAUCUCAUGCUUUUGCUUUUCCUCUUUCUUUUCAACUUUUUAUAAAUCAUGAGUUAGAAGUUAGAAAUUCUGAAUUCUGAUUUUCUCCUUUUCAAGUCAUAAAACGCCUUAUUACCUUUUUAUUAGUCAAUAAGUUAUAAGUAGCUUUAAUAACCUAACCCAAACACCCACUUUAUUACACCCAGGGGCGGAGUGUGGGUCACGGUCUUCGGACCCCAAUGUUUUUAAAAAAAAUAGUAGAUUCGGUAUAAAUUGUAUAAGAACCCCAUAAAUACAAUUAAGUGGAUACCAUAGAAGAAAAAAAAACUUGAUGUAGUGGUAAAUCCCUCUCUCUACCGACAAGAGGUCAUAAGUUCAAUCCUUGUAUAGCUUGUUUUUCCUGUUUUUUUUUUUUUAAAUCUAGCUCAAACCUCGCUAUCACCCGAUCCGAACGAGGACCGAUCCAAAAAUUUUAACGUUUUGUUAUAAAUAUUUUGAAAACCGAAAAAAAUGGACCUCAUUGAAAAAAAAAUCAUGGGUCCGCUACUAAUUACACCAAUGUGGUAGUCACAUAGACAACAUCCGAGUUUGAGAUGAAAUGUCUUGGAUUCAAGUCCACUAAGAUCAUGUGUAGUGGU